Molecule: small nuclear RNA, 141 nt
Organism: Aotus nancymaae (Ma's night monkey)
Lineage: Eukaryota; Metazoa; Chordata; Mammalia; Primates; Aotidae
Gene: U4
Rfam family: U4 spliceosomal RNA
About the family: U4 small nuclear RNA (U4 snRNA) is a component of the major U2-dependent spliceosome. The structure of U4 snRNA from yeast and human has been reported. U4 snRNA presents a k-turn RNA motif in the 5p-SL related to recognition of Snu13 protein.
Source: Ensembl
AGCUUUGUGCACUGGUGGUAUCGUAGCCAAUGAGGUUUAUUCAAGGCAUGAUUAUUGCUAACUGAAAACUUUUCCCAAUACCCUGCCAUGAUGACUUGAAAUAUAGUCGGCACUGGCAAUUUUUGACAGUCUCUACGGAGU